AGCGAACGCUGGCGGCAGGCCUAACACAUGCAAGUCGAACGAACCUUUCGGGGUUAGUGGCGGACGGGUGAGUAACACGUGGGAACGUGCCUUUAGGUUCGGAAUAACUCAGGGAAACUUGUGCUAAUACCGAAUGUGCCCUUCGGGGGAAAGAUUUAUCGCCUUUAGAGCGGCCCGCGUCUGAUUAGCUAGUUGGUUGAGGUAAUGGCUCACCAAGGCGACGAUCAGUAGCUGGUCUGAGAGGAUGAUCAGCCACAUUGGGACUGAGACACGGCCCAAACUCCUACGGGAGGCAGCAGUGGGGAAUCUGGCGCAAUGGGCGAAAGCCUGACGCAGCCAGGCCGCGUGAAUGAUGAAGGUCUUAGGAUUGUAAAAUUCUUUCACCGGGGACGAUAAUGACGGUACCCGGAGAAGAAGCCCCGGCUAACUUCGU
RNAcentral lists this ribosomal RNA (433 nucleotides) under uncultured bacterium. RNAcentral's name for it is "partial 16S ribosomal RNA". It matches the Rfam family "Bacterial small subunit ribosomal RNA", at positions 29 to 506 of the family's 1533-position model. The record is from RNAcentral.